UCCCUGAUGGUCCAGUGGUUAAAACUCUGCACUUCCAAUGCAGGGUCAAAGGUUCAAUGCCUGAUCAAGGAA
RNAcentral lists this transfer RNA (72 nucleotides) under Bos taurus (domestic cattle). It matches the Rfam family "tRNA". Rfam says of the family: Transfer RNA (tRNA) molecules are approximately 80 nucleotides in length. Their secondary structure includes four short double-helical elements and three loops (D, anti-codon, and T loops). RNAcentral also lists the same sequence under 5 other names. Lineage: Eukaryota; Metazoa; Chordata; Mammalia; Artiodactyla; Bovidae. The record is from Rfam by way of RNAcentral.